Molecule: long non-coding RNA, 181 nt
Organism: Mya arenaria
Lineage: Eukaryota; Metazoa; Mollusca; Bivalvia; Myida; Myidae
Exons: 3
Source: RefSeq, a predicted model, not a curated record
AUCGGGGGAAACUCCAGAGUCGCCCAUGAGGUUAAAAAGAAGUGGACUGAUAUGAAGAGCAAUGUAAAGAGGAAGGCGCAGCAAGAACGGACAGAAAGCAGGCAGACAGGAAAUGGGUUGAAGACUAUAAAUCUGGAUUCUUGGGAGGAAAUGGUAUUGACAACCAUUCCAAAGGUGUCAG